This is a non-coding RNA of Schistosoma mansoni, 45 nucleotides long. Lineage: Eukaryota; Metazoa; Platyhelminthes; Trematoda; Strigeidida; Schistosomatidae. The record is from Rfam.
GUCAAGCUGAAGAGUCUCAAAUGGGACGAAACACACGUCUUCGAU